Molecule: ribosomal RNA, 912 nt
Filed under: uncultured bacterium
Lineage: Bacteria
Description: bacterial SSU rRNA
Rfam family: Bacterial small subunit ribosomal RNA
Source: RNAcentral
ACGCUGGCGGCGUGCCUAAUACAUGCAAGUAGAACGCUGAAGCUUGGUGCUUGCACCGAGCGGAAGAGUUGCGAACGGGUGAGUAACGCGUAGGUAACCUGCCUCUUAGCGGGGGAUAACUAUUGGAAACGAUAGCUAAUACCGCAUAAAAGUCGGCAUUGCAUGAUGUUGACUUGAAAGGUGCAACUGCAUCACUAAGAGAUGGACCUGCGUUGUAUUAGCUAGUUGGUGAGGUAACGGCUCACCAAGGCGACGAUACAUAGCCGACCUGAGAGGGUGAUCGGCCACACUGGGACUGAGACACGGCCCAGACUCCUACGGGAGGCAGCAGUAGGGAAUCUUCGGCAAUGGACGGAAGUCUGACCGAGCAACGCCGCGUGAGUGAAGAAGGUUUUCGGAUCGUAAAGCUCUGUUGUAAGAGAAGAACGAGUGUGAGAGUGGAAAGUUCACACUGUGACGGUAACUUACCAGAAAGGGACGGCUAACUACGUGCCAGCAGCCGCGGUAAUACGUAGGUCCCGAGCGUUAUCCGGAUUUAUUGGGCGUAAAGCGAGCGCAGGCGGUUAGAUAAGUCUGAAGUUAGAGGCUGUGGCUUAACCAUAGUACGCUUUGGAAACUGUUUAACUUGAGUGCAGAAGGGGAGAGUGGAAUUCCAUGUGUAGCGGUGAAAUGCGUAGAUAUAUGGAGGAACACCGGUGGCGAAAGCGGCUCUCUGGUCUGUAACUGACGCUGAGGCUCGAAAGCGUGGGGAGCAAACAGGAUUAGAUACUCUGGUAGUCCACGCCGUAAACGAUGAGUGCUAGGUGUUGGGUCCUUUCCGGGACUCAGUGCCGCAGCUAACGCAUUAAGCACUCCGCCUGGGGAGUACGACCGCAAGGUUGAAACUCAAAGGAAUUGACGGGGGCCCGCACA